This is a long non-coding RNA of Trichosurus vulpecula (common brushtail), 431 nucleotides long. RefSeq lists it as uncharacterized. The transcript is spliced from 3 exons. The record is from RefSeq and is a predicted model, not a curated record. Lineage: Eukaryota; Metazoa; Chordata; Mammalia; Diprotodontia; Phalangeridae.
CAUUAAGAGAUAAUACUUUCUAAACACCCUCCUAAAGGUGAUUUUAAGUUGAAAGAGCUUUAAAUACCAUUUUUGAGUAGAGAAGAGAAGAUAUGGCCAAGUGAAAAAUGACAAGGACCAGACAAGCUUUGAGAAGCAGUUUUGCAUGAUCUCAACUAUAAUCUUGAACAGUUACCUUAUAAACAACUCGGUGGUCACCAGGUGAGAGAAGGAGGAUCAAUACAAGUCUAUCAGCAAAGAAAGAACUCAGGAAGUGAACCCUAGUGAUGACAGGCCUUCUAUUUUAAAUUGGAGCCUGCUGUCAACCUGAUGAAAACAAGAAGAAAAAGGGGUUAAGGUUUAGAAAAUAUGGUGCCAAGUAUGUUCUGAGGAGAGAAAAAGAACACAUACAUUUCAGGGUAAGUCUCUUGCGUCUGGACGAAAGAUUUUUC